AACAGGAUUAGAUACCCUGGUAGUCCACGCCGUAAACGAUGUCGACUUGGAGGUUGUGCCCUUGAGGCGUGGCUUCCGGAGCUAACGCGUUAAGUCGACCGCCUGGGGAGUACGGCCGCAAGGUUAAAACUCAAAUGAAUUGACGGGGGCCCGCACAAGCGGUGGAGCAUGUGGUUUAAUUCGAUGCAACGCGAAGAACCUUACCUACUCUUGACAUCCAGAGAACUUAGCAGAGAUGCUUUGGUGCCUUCGGGAACUCUGAGACAGGUGCUGCAUGGCUGUCGUCAGCUCGUGUUGUGAAAUGUUGGGUUAAGUCCCGCAACGAGCGCAACCCUUAUCCUUUGUUGCCAGCACGUAAUGGUGGGAACUCAAAGGAGACUGCCGGUGAUAAACCGGAGGAAGGUGGGGAUGACGUCAAGUCAUCAUGGCCCUUACGAGUAGGGCUACACACGUGCUACAAUGGCAUAUACAAAGAGAAGCGAACUCGCGAGAGCAAGCGGACCUCAUAAAGUAUGUCGUAGUCCGGAUUGGAGUCUGCAACUCGACUCCAUGAAGUCGGAAUCGCUAGUAAUCGUAGAUCAGAAUGCUACGGUGAAUACGUUCCCGGGCCUUGUACACACCGCCCGUCACACCAUGGGAGUGGGUUGCAAAAGAAGUAGGUAGCUUAACCUUCGGGAGGGCGCUUACCACUUUGUGAUUCAUGACUGGGGUGAAGUCGUAACAAGGUAACC
Molecule: ribosomal RNA, 731 nt
Filed under: uncultured bacterium
Lineage: Bacteria
Description: bacterial SSU rRNA
Rfam family: Bacterial small subunit ribosomal RNA
Source: RNAcentral